GGAAUUUUCCGCAAUGGGCGAAAGCCUGACGGAGCAAUCUCGCGUGAGGGAUGACGGCCUAUGGGUUGUAAACCUCUUUUUUCAGGGAGGAAUAAAUGACGUGUACCUGAAGAAUAAGCAUCGGCUAACUCCGUGCCAGCAGCCGCGGUGAGACGGAGGAUGCAAGUGUUAUCCGGAAUCACUGGGCGUAAAGCGUCUGUAGGUGGUUUAAUAAGUCAACUGUUAAAUCUUGAAGCUCAACUUCAAAAUCGCAGUCGAAACUAUUAGACUAGAGUAUAGUAGGGGUAAAGGGAAUUUCCAGUGGAGCGGUGAAAUGCGUAGAGAUUGGAAAGAACACCGAUGGCGAAGGCACUUUACUGGGCUAUUACUAACACUCAGAGACGAAAGCUAGGGUAGCAAAUGGGAUUAGAUACCCCCGUAGUC
This 423-nucleotide ribosomal RNA is filed under the name uncultured eukaryotic phytoplankton. RNAcentral describes it as "bacterial SSU rRNA". It matches the Rfam family "Bacterial small subunit ribosomal RNA", at positions 358 to 795 of the family's 1533-position model. The record is from RNAcentral.